UACGUAGGGGGCCAGCGUUGUCCGGAAUCAUUGGGCGUAAAGAGCGUGUAGGCGGUCCGGUAAGUCCGCUGUGAAAGUCGGGGGCUCAACCCUCGAAUGCCGGUGGAUACUGUCGGGCUAGAGUGCGGAAGAGGCGAGUGGAAUUCCUGGUGUAGCGGUGAAAUGCGCAGAUAUCAGGAGGAACACCUAUUGCGAAGGCAGCUCGCUGGGACGUAACUGACGCUGAGACGCGAAAGCGUGGGGAGCAAACAGG
Molecule: ribosomal RNA, 253 nt
Filed under: uncultured bacterium
Lineage: Bacteria
Description: partial 16S ribosomal RNA
Rfam family: Bacterial small subunit ribosomal RNA
Source: RNAcentral